RNAcentral lists this unclassified non-coding RNA (533 nucleotides) under Monomorium pharaonis (pharaoh ant). Its description in RNAcentral is "uncharacterized LOC114255228, transcript variant X2". Lineage: Eukaryota; Metazoa; Arthropoda; Insecta; Hymenoptera; Formicidae. The record is from RNAcentral.
AGAUAUUUGACUACGUAGUUUAGUGUGAACAUUUUGUGCACAUAGAGGCGCUUGUCUACGAAUUCUGUAGGUAAUUGCGAUUCCGUGGUUUUCUUCCGUCCUAAAUCAGAAGUAAGGUAAGGUUAAGUGGAUAAAAACAAUCAAUCGGAGAGUUUGUUUUAUAUAUAACGCGAUCUAUUGGACAUGGUUAGUUAAAUUCGGGUUAAAUUAAGUUGUGGAAUUAUCUCAAUUCUUCAAGGAUGUAAGAUGCCACGGAUAUCGAAAGUCCACACGAUCGUCUUGUAGGAUGAUCAAGAAUAUAACCAAAAAAUGCGUAGAAGAAGGAAGGAAGUACCCGGAAGUAGAGAGAAACAGGGCAAUGGCGAUGCAUCGGCCGCUUACUUUUGGACUUGGAUUUUUUAAAUAAUUUGCAUCAGUUUUCAGCACAAAAGGUUUGGUAAUUUUAUAUACAUAUUUAAACAUAUACGUGCGUAUAUUAAAAUAUAUAUUAUAUAAAUUGUAUAGAUAAUUAAAUAUAUAUGUGUGUGUGUUUA